AUAUAAGCUGGUGUAUUGACAUGUUUCAACUCUUCAAUAUCUCUCAAUUUACAAUUGUUGUGGUUUGACAACAUUACCACACUGGAAGUCUCACCUCAUUUACACACCUUAAUAUAUACAAUUGUGAGAACCUUGCAGAAAGAUGUUGAAGGGAACCGACCCAAGAUUGAUUAUAUCCCAUAAAUUAACAUGUACCUACAUUAUUGAAGAGUGAACUUAUACAGAAUGUCAUUUCAGUUUGCUGUAAAACGUGAUAAUGGUUGUGCUUGGACAUCUCCACCAGUGGAUUCAAUAUGUCAUUAACUUUGAGACCUUGAAUAAAUGUUGCAGACAACUUUUGUCGUAUAAUGGGGAUGAGAUUUGCAUGCAAAUGGCAAGGACUCAGAAGCUUGAGUUGAAUUCUCCAUCACUGGGGCCUCAAAAUGUUACCAUUCUGGAAAUUCUUAAAAUACCGUUCUUGUUUAGCAACUUUAUCAGAUUGGAUAAACAUCCAAAGAUCUCUUAAUGAGCUACAAAAUGUUGUCUGCCUUGAAUUUGAAUCACCGUGCUCCUCAGUUCUUCAAUGUUUCCAGAAUUGAUAUUUGACCGAUUUCACCUUGUUUAAGAAACUUGAGGUUAUUCAUUGGCCCAAAGGUUUCUUAUAUGCCGUUGCAAAUAAGGAUGAUGGUGAGGAUGGGCUGAAUAUUGCCCAUGCCUUGGAAAAAAGUUAUUGAGGGUUGGUGCAAAGGCUUACAGCACCUAUGGAGCUCUGAGUUCAUUCUUGCCCUCUAGUACAUCACUACCAGAAGAGAUGCAUUCCCUUAGCACCCUACAGAGACUAAUACAGAAAGCCACUCCAGCAGAACACCAACAAUUUGAGUGAGUUGCACAUCUUACCAAACAAACUAGUUACCUGCCUUCACUUGAGUUUCUUAAGAUCUGGGAUUAGAAUGCUUUGGAGCACACAAACAAUAAUGGUAAUAUCUCUCCCAAAUGAGGUGCUUCAACAUGUUAUAACCCUCCAAACUCUCUCAAUUGACAACUGUUCUGCUUUGGCAAUGCUACUAUCAAUUCACUCAUAGAGCUUCAAGUUCAUUCUUUCUCUGAAUUGAUGUCACUGCAGGAUGAGAUGCUUUCCUUUCCAGAAACUCAAAAUCUACACUUAUCUAUGUCUAUUGGAAACAUGCCAGAAGGAACUUGUGACCCAAUAUCGCUUAUGUCUCAGAAAUUUAUAUUUUUGUGAAAAUUCUACCAAUACAUAAAGUCAUUUCAGGAAAACUAAACCACUUCAGUGUUUAAUAUGAAAGUGGGUAGGGUUGAUCAAUUUCACAAUAUAUGGAUGGUUGCUUAUAUAAAUGAAGUUCAUUUAUAUCUCAGUUAAUGAGAUAAAGGAAAGAUGUUGAUUUUAUGUUGAAGAUCGCCGAAGAGUUGCUUAUAUAGUGAAGUUCAUUUAUAUUCCAAUAUUAACGAGAGAAGGGAAGAUGUUGAUUUUUAUGUUGAAGAUCAUGGAAGAGAGAAAUAAACCACUUCAUUGCUUGAUUUGAAAGUGGUUAUGGUUGAUAGUUUUCACAAUAUAUGGAUGGAGAAAUAAACCACUUCAGUGCUUGAUAUGAAGGUGGAUAUGGUUGAUCGUUUUCACAACAUAUGGAUGGUUGUUUAUAUAAAUGAUUUCAUGUAUAUCCCAAAGUUAAUGAGAUAUGGGAAAGAUGCUGAUUUUUAUGUUGAAGAUGGCUAAAGAGUGUUGCCUAUAUGAGAGUGAUUUCUCAUAAUGAAGAGUGAAG
Long non-coding RNA from Vitis riparia (riverbank grape), 1760 nucleotides. RefSeq lists it as uncharacterized. The record is from RefSeq and is a predicted model, not a curated record. The transcript is spliced from 12 exons. NCBI's taxonomy places the organism in Eukaryota, Viridiplantae, Streptophyta, Magnoliopsida, Vitales, Vitaceae.